RNAcentral lists this ribosomal RNA (221 nucleotides) under uncultured bacterium. RNAcentral's name for it is "partial 16S ribosomal RNA". It matches the Rfam family "Bacterial small subunit ribosomal RNA", at positions 96 to 334 of the family's 1533-position model. The record is from RNAcentral.
UGGCGGACGGGUGAGUAACGCGUGAGAAGUCUGCCUUCAGGACGGAGACAACAGUUGGAAACGACUGCUAAGCCCCGAUGAACCGAAAGGGAAAAUAUUUAUAGCCUGAAGAUGAGCUCGCGUCCGAUUAGCUAGUUGGCGGAGUAAAAGCCCACCAAGGCGACGAUCGGUAGCUGGUCUGAGAGGACGAUCAGCCACACUGGGACUGAGACACGGCCCAG